This is a long non-coding RNA of Ictalurus punctatus (channel catfish), 279 nucleotides long. The record is from Ensembl. Lineage: Eukaryota; Metazoa; Chordata; Actinopteri; Siluriformes; Ictaluridae.
CUUUUAUGGGAGUAUCUGGAAUGCAGACUCAGUAGAUGUCCAUCUCCUUUAUCUCUUAACGAACGGAGGGGUUUUCCUGGUGAAGAAUGAAGAACAUCCCAACACAAUGCACUCAGGACUUGCGUGACGGCAUUCCAAGAAUUUUUCAAGCUGUUCUGUAGUCAAAGGGCUGCAUGAGUGGGUGCUAAUUGAAGCCUGUAAGAAGUGCCUAACAGUUCUGACACACUGUCACAGCAGUUUUACUGAUAGAGAACAACCCAUCACUCUUAGUAUGUGUGG